Molecule: ribosomal RNA, 540 nt
Filed under: Kocuria sp.
Lineage: Bacteria; Bacillati; Actinomycetota; Actinomycetes; Micrococcales; Micrococcaceae
Description: partial 16S ribosomal RNA
Rfam family: Bacterial small subunit ribosomal RNA
Source: RNAcentral
ACUCCUACGGGAGGCAGCAGUGGGGAAUAUUGCACAAUGGGCGGAAGCCUGAYGCAGYGACGCCGCGUGAGGGAUGACGGCCUUCGGGUUGUAAACCUCUUUYAGCAGGGAAGAAGCCACAAGUGACGGUACCUGCAGAAGAAGCGCCGGCUAAYUACGUGCCAGCAGCCGCGGUAAUACGUAGGGSGCAAGCGUUGUCCGGAAUUAUUGGGCGUAAAGAGCUCGUAGGCGGUUUGUCGCKUCUGCUGUGAAAGCCCGGGGYUCAACCCCGGGUYUGCMGUGGGUACGGGCAGACUAGAGUGCAGUAGGGGRGACUGGAAUUCCUGGKGUAGCGGUGAAAUGCGCAGAUAUCAGGAGGAACMCCGAUGGSGAAGGCAGGUCUYUGGGCUGUUACUGACGCUGAGGAGSGAAAGCAUGGGGAGCGAACAGGAUUAGAUACCCUGGUAGUCCAUGCCGUAAACGUUGGGCACUAGGUGUGGGGGACAUUCCACGUUYUCCGCGCCGUAGCUAACGCAUUAAGUGCCCCGCCUGGGGAGUACG